GUGCCAGCCGCCGCGGUAAUACGAGGGGGGCAAAUGUUGUUCGGAAUCACUGGGCGUAAAGGGAGCGUAGGCGGGCUCUUAAGUUAGGUGUUUAAUCCCGGGGCCCAACCCCGGACAGGCACCUAAAACUGGGAGUCUUGAAUAGUGGAGAGGACGGCGGAAUUGGGGGUGUAGCGGUGGAAUGCGUAGAGAUCCCCAAGAACACCAGUUGCGAAGGCGGCCGUCUGGACACAUAUUGACGCUGAGGCUCGAAAGCAUGGGGAGCAAACAGGAUUAGAAACCCGCGUAGUCC
This 292-nucleotide ribosomal RNA is filed under the name uncultured bacterium. Its description in RNAcentral is "partial 16S ribosomal RNA". It matches the Rfam family "Bacterial small subunit ribosomal RNA", at positions 505 to 796 of the family's 1533-position model. The record is from RNAcentral.